RNAcentral lists this ribosomal RNA (608 nucleotides) under uncultured bacterium. Its description in RNAcentral is "bacterial SSU rRNA". It matches the Rfam family "Bacterial small subunit ribosomal RNA", at positions 70 to 649 of the family's 1533-position model. The record is from RNAcentral.
UCUUUUCCCACCGGAGCUUGCUCCACCGGGAAAAGAGGAGUGGCGAAUCGGGUGAGUAACACGUGGGUAACCUGCCCAUCAGAAGGGGAUAACACUUGGAAACAGGUGCUAAUACCGUAUAACAAUCGAAACCGCAUGGUUUCGUUUUGAAAGGCGCUUUACGGUGCCGCUGAUGGAUGGACCCGCGGUGCAUUAGCUAGUUGGUGAGGUAACGGCUCACCAAGGCCACGAUGCAUAGCCGACCUGAGAGGGUGAUCGGCCACAUUGGGACUGAGACACGGCCCAAACUCCUACGGGAGGCAGCAGUAGGGAAUCUUCGGCAAUGGACGAAAGUCUGACCGAGCAACGCCGCGUGAGUGAAGAAGGUUUUCGGAUCGUAAAACUCUGUUGUUAGAGAAGAACAAGGGUGAGAGUAACUGUUCACCCCUUGACGGUAUCUAACCAGAAAGCCACGGCUAACUACGUGCCAGCAGCCGCGGUAAUACGUAGGUGGCAAGCGUUGUCCGGAUUUAUUGGGCGUAAAGCGAGCGCAGGCGGUUUCUUAAGUCUGAUGUGAAAGCCCCCGGCUCAACCGGGGAGGGUCAUUGGAAACUGGGAGACUUGAGUGC